Molecule: long non-coding RNA, 691 nt
Filed under: Vigna radiata
Lineage: Eukaryota; Viridiplantae; Streptophyta; Magnoliopsida; Fabales; Fabaceae
Description: long non-coding RNA (VRAD_LNC004811)
Source: RNAcentral
UUAACUCUGGAACGAAAUGAUGUGGUGAAUGGAAAAAUCACUAGAAAAAAAGGAAAGAAAAACAUCGUAAAAGAAAAAAUAAAUAAUAAAAAAAGGAUGUAAAGUCUCCCCGUCAGUUGUCAUAUCAAGAGAGAAUCGUCAAACUGGGACAACCCUUUCUACUCGAACCGUUCCACCUCUCCAAAUUGUAUUUACCAUGCGCAACAAAGUUAGGGAAACCCUUGCAAGCACACCUGUUUAAACAUUAACCAAACCUCCCCAAAUGAGAAAAAUUCAAAUGCUAAUCAUCCAACCAUCUACUUUUCAUACCCAUUUCCCACACCUCCUUGGGGUCAAGCUAGUUUUGAUUGCAAAAAGCGGUAAAGGGAAUUUGAAUUCAUGGUUACACUCUCUUCCUUUUCAUCAAAGAUCUCAAUGUCUCUUGACAUUAUUCUCAAUGAAUGCAUUUUCAAAUGUACAUCGAAAUUGACGACAAUAUUGACAACGGAUUCCAAACAUGGAUUUUUAAAAAAUAAAAUAAAAUAAAAAGAGAAAAAAAAAACAAAACAAAAACCAAAGCAAAAACAAAAAAAACAGAAGGAAGGAAAUAGAGAGAGCAAAAGAAAAGUACAAAACAAAGGUCUCAUGUGUUUAUGCAUCCAUACAUCCUCAUUGCAUUACAUCAUACAUCUUCAAAACAAGCGAAGAAAAU